ACUUGCUCUGCAGAGGGCGCCAUGUUUCGUUAACUGUUCUUUUUCGCCUACUGUUGUUGAAGGUUGUAUGUGCAGGAACGGUUGGCAGCAAUUAAAGUCUCCAUCACAACUUCGACCCCUGCUGUCUGAUCCUCUUCUCUCUGCAUGACACCCUGCAUGCAGACACAUCAAGGAACACAACGCAGAGCUACGCAGGGUUUGCGGAGAGGCGCUCCACUUGUAGCAGACACGCAAAACCUGUCAGAUUUUUUGUUACCCUCUUUGAUUGAUGACACCAUCAACAUGGAUUGAAGUCACAUCCCACCAGAAGCUGGAGUGUUUCCUGCUGAGCUCGAGUGAGGUUUCAGAUUCCACAAUUCAGAGGUUUCCGGUGUGGACUGAGUGGCGAGCCAGACCCUGAUUCUUCCCCCUCACGGACUGUGUGGUAGGACCAAAUGAACACUGGUGCACUGACACUGAUUAAUAGAAGGGCCCAGACGAAAUAAAGACUAGAUUGGGAAAAGUUUUUUUCUGCCGGCUUUAUUUUGUUUUUUUUCCCAUUCAUUGUUUCAGCAGAUUGUCAUGUUAAAUUGUUAUUCAUUUGCUGUUACAAGUGGCCACACAAACAAGCUAUUGUUGUCUGUGUCAUUACUGAUGUUCAAAAGACUGGCUCUUAACAACUUAGUGUCUUCUGAUACUGGUCCAAUUGCUCUUAUAGAUCAGUACUCACCUGUGCUCUAUCAUUACACCGUCAUGAGGGCUACUCUGAGCUCAAGUCAACAAGCAGCAUCCUGAUGUAUGUGUUCAGUCUUCUCAGAUGACUGAGGGCUUUGGAG
Molecule: long non-coding RNA, 815 nt
Organism: Amphiprion ocellaris (clown anemonefish)
Lineage: Eukaryota; Metazoa; Chordata; Actinopteri; Pomacentridae
Exons: 3
Source: RefSeq, a predicted model, not a curated record